RNAcentral lists this ribosomal RNA (1500 nucleotides) under metagenome. Its description in RNAcentral is "bacterial SSU rRNA". It matches the Rfam family "Bacterial small subunit ribosomal RNA". The record is from RNAcentral.
AGAGUCUGAUCAUGGCUCAGAUUGAACGCUGGCGGCAGGCCUAACACAUGCAAGUCGAACGGUAACAGGAAGCAGCUUGCUGCUUCGCUGACGAGUGGCGGACGGGUGAGUAAUGUCUGGGAAGCUGCCUGAUGGAGGGGGAUAACUACUGGAAACGGUAGCUAAUACCGCAUAAUGUCGCAAGACCAAAGAGGGGGACCUUCGGGCCUCUUGCCAUCGGAUGUGCCCAGAUGGGAUUAGCUUGUUGGUGGGGUAACGGCUCACCAAGGCGACGAUCCCUAGCUGGUCUGAGAGGAUGACCAGCCACACUGGAACUGAGACACGGUCCAGACUCCUACGGGAGGCAGCAGUGGGGAAUAUUGCACAAUGGGCGCAAGCCUGAUGCAGCCAUGCCGCGUGUAUGAAGAAGGCCUUCGGGUUGUAAAGUACUUUCAGCGGGGAGGAAGGGAGUAAAGUUAAUACCUUUGCUCAUUGACGUUACCCGCAGAAGAAGCACCGGCUAACUCCGUGCCAGCAGCCGCGGUAAUACGGAGGGUGCAAGCGUUAAUCGGAAUUACUGGGCGUAAAGCGCACGCAGGCGGUUUGUUAAGUCAGAUGUGAAAUCCCCGGGCUCAACCUGGGAACUGCAUCUGAUACUGGCAAGCUUGAGUCUCGUAGAGGGGGGUAGAAUUCCAGGUGUAGCGGUGAAAUGCGUAGAGAUCUGGAGGAAUACCGGUGGCGAAGGCGGCCCCCUGGACGAAGACUGACGCUCAGGUGCGAAAGCGUGGGGAGCAAACAGGAUUAGAUACCCUGGUAGUCCACGCCGUAAACGAUGUCGACUUGGAGGUUGUGCCCUUGAGGCGUGGCUUCCGGAGCUAACGCGUUAAGUCGACCGCCUGGGGAGUACGGCCGCAAGGUUAAAACUCAAAUGAAUUGACGGGGGCCCGCACAAGCGGUGGAGCAUGUGGUUUAAUUCGAUGCAACGCGAAGAACCUUACCUGGUCUUGACAUCCACGGAAGUUUUCAGAGAUGAGAAUGUGCCUUCGGGAACCGUGAGACAGGUGCUGCAUGGCUGUCGUCAGCUCGUGUUGUGAAAUGUUGGGUUAAGUCCCGCAACGAGCGCAACCCUUAUCCUUUGUUGCCAGCGGUCCGGCCGGGAACUCAAAGGAGACUGCCAGUGAUAAACUGGAGGAAGGUGGGGAUGACGUCAAGUCAUCAUGGCCCUUACGACCAGGGCUACACACGUGCUACAAUGGCGCAUACAAAGAGAAGCGACCUCGCGAGAGCAAGCGGACCUCAUAAAGUGCGUCGUAGUCCGGAUUGGAGUCUGCAGCUCGACUCCAUGAAGUCGGAAUCGCUAGUAAUCGUGGAUCAGAAUGCCACGGUGAAUACGUUCCCGGGCCUUGUACACACCGCCCGUCACACCAUGGGAGUGGGUUGCAAAAGAAGUAGGUAGCUUAACCUUCGGGAGGGCGCUUACCACUUUGUGAUUCAUGACUGGGGUGAAGUCGUAACAAGGUA